Molecule: long non-coding RNA, 3074 nt
Filed under: Canis lupus familiaris (dog)
Lineage: Eukaryota; Metazoa; Chordata; Mammalia; Carnivora; Canidae
Description: lncRNA (ENSCAFG00030009513.1)
Source: RNAcentral
UAGUGUGGAGGGGGGACGCCCGGCCGGACCGCCUUGCCGGUCGCAGGCCCGGGGAGGGAGUUCAUCCUUCAGCAGGGCAGGAGGCCCUGACAUGUCCCUUUGCCCAGGAGAUUUGGGCACACACACCCCAGGAGGUCCCUCUUGAAAGAGCCAGAACGUAGGGAGCUCCUGCCCGAAGGUGGACAGACCUAGGUGUGGUGUGCAUAAGUGUGUGUGUAUGUGUGUGUGUCUCUGCGUGUGCGCGCGUGCAAGGCGAGAGGGUCUCCGCGUACCCCGCACCCUCUAUCUGGGAUUCUAUAUUUUCCCUUCCUUUGUUCUCAAAAUAGUAGGCUAGCGGGUCUGCGCUGCCCUGAGAAGGGGUGGGGGCCGUUGCGCGCUCGCUCUCGCGCGCCCGAGUUAGCUGCAGGGUUACAAACAGUCUCUCCCUGCUCCCCCGGCCUGAAUUAAUGUGUUACUAUUUUGGGCGCGCCAGUGUUUCCAGGGGAAACCUAAUGACGCAAUGACGUCAAUGCAGGUCAGCAGCAGACUCUCCGGGAGGGCGGGCGGGCUCCCGGCUUUCAGGCUCGGCGCAGUCUACUGGCGGGAGGGCGCCGGCGAGGUGGCGAGGGCGGCAGGCGCGGGGGCGCGGGAACCCCGGCCAGGCCCAGGGACCAGAGGGCGCCCCCUCCCAGCGCCCGGACCCGGGGGAGCCAGAGAAGCCAGCAGGUCCGGACUCGAUGAGGGGGCUCCACGCCGGGCCUCCCACGCACAGUUGUUCCAGAUUUCACCCUACCCCCAGCCGGGCGGUGGCCGUCUUUUCUCCACACUGGCCACAGCUUCGGGCGGCUGCGGACUUCUCAGAGCUCAAGCUAUCUUCUUGCCCCAGCUCACUUGUGCCCUUCCCUCCUUGGAGCGUGAGUUGAAGAGGAGGAAAUCCCUUUCCAUCCGCCCCCUUUCGCCGGGGGUUUAAAAGGCUCGGGCUGAAGCCACCGCUCUCUGCCCGGGUCGGCGGCGGGCCUGCGUUUUCAGCACCAGGGUCCGGACAGCUCCACGCCCUCCCCCGCACCGCCUCUUUCCUCACCGGGCCUGAGCUCAGGACGUGGGAGUGAGCGUCCCCCGUCCUGGCCUUUCUGACCUCUCCCCCGCCCCCAACGCACACAAGUCUGGUCCUUCCUCCCCAUCCAGAUCUCUGUUCCGUGCCCAGGUGCUAGAAGGGGCAAAAACCAGCCUGCAAGAUCUCAAGCUGACUGGCAGGCAUCACCAUGUUACCAGCAGCCUGGCUUCCUUCAAGGAGUAGGAACUCUGAAGAGAGGCUGCCAAGGCCUUGCUACAAGCUCCUCUUCCUACCUCAGUUCAUUAAAAUAAGUAAAUAAAGCCAGAUUUGUUCCUCAGAAGAGGUGCCAGCUUUCAGAAGGUGCUGGUGGGGUUCAGGAUUUUCUGGAUUCUUUAAACACAAUUAGUAGCUCCUGAUAUCACCUUUCAGACAGUCUCACAGUCCUGUCCAUCCUUCUUUUCCUAAAUCCAGGCCUCACCUGGUGGAGGAAGGGGUAGGGAUGGACACUGCCCACCUCUUUACUUCCCACAACAGUCAGAGAGGAUUUGGCUAAUGUCAUAGCUUUGGGGGCUCUGGAUAGGGUGAUGUCUAUGUGAGUUCUCACUACAGCUGUGCCUUGAACUGUUGAAGGUAAUUUUUGUGGUGACAGAGCUCUGUGUAGACUUGCUGGGCUGUGACCACACAGAGACUUUUGGGACAGCCCCCACUCCACAUUCUACCCCAAAUGGAAUCUAGGACACAGCAAAUCUACUUGUGGCUCUCUCUAUUUCCGGAUUCUUUUAGUUGAUGAAAGAUGGCACUAGACUAUUGCCCCUGACACCUCUCUCCACCUUGCUCAGGAAUUGUCUUAUUGUCAUCUCAACUUCUCCAGGUAGAGUAGUAUGCGUGAUGCCCCAGCUGGUUCAGGGAUGGGUGAAGGAAGCCAAGGAAAAGCCAGCUCUUUCCACCCUGCCCCACCCUGUUUCAGAAACCUGGAGACUAUGAACCUCUUUCCCUAUCUGAGAAUCAGAACACUCUUCUUCCCUAGAUAUUCUCCUCUCUCAGGCAGCAGAGAUUAGGCCAAACUUGUCAUAUUUGACCCAGGGGCAGAUCCAGGUGUUGUCUUUCUCCUACUGAGCCCAAAGCACUAGAGGAGGUCUGGGCUUGGUGGGGAGGGUGUCUCUUUACAGAAACUCUGGGACCUGGAGUGAGGCAUGCACACUGUCAGCAGGAAAUGGCCUUUUCUCUGAAGAAGCCAUUGUUCUGCUUGCUGCUCAGCUAUCAGAGUGAGGAGAGGGGGGAAAAAAUACAGUCUAGGGACAAAAGAAGGAGAGUCAGUAAUCUCAAUCCAGUGGCACUUCCUUCUCAGAGGGUAGAAGCCUAAGACCAGAUCCAUGACAUCCUCAGUUUCCAUAGGUCUCAAGGGGAGUAAAAAAACAGCUGUUUCCCCAAAGGAAUUCAUUUGCAUGACAAAGCUGUGUGUGACUUGGUUAAGGAGGUAACAGCAUGGGAAAAAUAUGAAAACAGCAAGGGGAUAUGCCUUCCACCAAAGGACAGUGCCCACUCCCCAGCGCUCCCCACCCCAGGGUCUUUGCAGCCAAAAUUUGUUCCUCUGGGAGGCAACAAAGCUGCCACCAUCUGCCUAGCCCCACUCCUGGCUACUUUCCAAGCUUCCCUGGCUCCCUGGCCUCCUUCUGUGUUCAGCUGGGUGACAUCUGGCUGUGGCCUCAGGGGAAGGCUGGCCAAGGUCGGGCAGAUACAGAGGUGUUUACCCUGGGGACCUGAGGCUGACUUCUCCUUUGGUUGUGUGGAGCAGGGACCUAGGAAGAAGAGCUAGGGAAGGUGAGGGGCCCCACCUGGCAAGAAACCUGCACAUGACAUUGCACUGGGUGCUGAGGAGAUCCCAGGCCUCUGAGGUUGUCCUUGUACACCACAGGGCAUCUGGGCCAGAGGUCCCACUCCCCAGGGUCAGAUGCACAGCAGAGAUCUGGACUACCUCAGCACCAGUCCCAGCACAAGGGGCCAAAUUUUCCCUUCAGCUCCCUGCUGAUUCUUAAGCAAG